GCCAGGCACAGUGAUGCAUGCCUGUAAUCCCAGUAGCUUGGGAGGCUGAGACAGGUGUAUCUCAAGUACAAAGCCAGCCUUAGCAAUGGCGAGGCACUUAGCAAUCCUGUCUCUA
Molecule: small RNA, 115 nt
Filed under: Marmota monax (woodchuck)
Lineage: Eukaryota; Metazoa; Chordata; Mammalia; Rodentia; Sciuridae
Source: RNAcentral